This 635-nucleotide ribosomal RNA is filed under the name Escherichia coli. RNAcentral describes it as "bacterial LSU rRNA". It matches the Rfam family "Bacterial large subunit ribosomal RNA", at positions 1 to 667 of the family's 2925-position model. The record is from RNAcentral. Lineage: Bacteria; Pseudomonadati; Pseudomonadota; Gammaproteobacteria; Enterobacterales; Enterobacteriaceae. RNAcentral also lists the same sequence under 2 other names.
GGGUUGUGAGGUUAAGCGACUAAGCGUACACGGUGGAUGCCCUGGCAGUCAGAGGCGAUGAAGGACGUGCUAAUCUGCGAUAAGCGUCGGUAAGGUGAUAUGAACCGUUAUAACCGGCGAUUUCCGAAUGGGGAAACCCAGUGUGAUUCGUCACACUAUCAUUAACUGAAUCCAUAGGUUAAUGAGGCGAACCGGGGGAACUGAAACAUCUAAGUACCCCGAGGAAAAGAAAUCAACCGAGAUUCCCCCAGUAGCGGCGAGCGAACGGGGAGGAGCCCAGAGCCUGAAUCAGUGUGUGUGUUAGUGGAAGCGUCUGGAAAGGCGCGCGAUACAGGGUGACAGCCCCGUACACAAAAAUGCACAUGCUGUGAGCUCGAUGAGUAGGGCGGGACACGUGGUAUCCUGUCUGAAUAUGGGGGGACCAUCCUCCAAGGCUAAAUACUCCUGACUGACCGAUAGUGAACCAGUACCGUGAGGGAAAGGCGAAAAGAACCCCGGCGAGGGGAGUGAAAAAGAACCUGAAACCGUGUACGUACAAGCAGUGGGAGCACAGAGCAAUCUGUGUGACUGCGUACCUUUUGUAUAAUGGGUCAGCGACUUAUAUUCUGUAGCAAGGUUAACCGAAUAGGGGAGCC